ACCUACUACCGCGCUGAUUUUCAGCCGCUUCCCUUUAUGAUGCCACUGACUAUAAAUAAAAACUAAAAACUAAAAACUAAAACUAUGGCAAGUGCACGGCCGGCAGCUGUGAACCAAGGUCACCCGGGGUACUUCACACGCAUAAGCGGUUCGUGUUUUCAGCGGCCCCGAGUGCCUCACGCGGCUGUAAAAGGCUUUCAGUGCCUACGCUGCCGCCGUGCUGCGCCCACACUGUGCCAUAAACUGUAAAUAAAUAUAUGAUUGUGAUUUAAAACGUAAUUAGAAAUAUCAUGUAGUGAAUCUGUAGGCGAGUGGUAUAUUUUUGUGUAAUGAAUAAUUCAAUUUUACGAUGGAUAUUGGGAAUGAAGUCAUAGACUAAAGAAGGUAUUCAUAUUGAAGGUAGCUGUGAACAUUAGCUGUGUUGCAAAAAAUGGGAUGAUUUUGGAGAUAAGAAAAUAUGUACAAUAAUGGAAGAUUAUAUUAUGCCGCGGGAGUCCAUUUGUGUGUUGCGAAGAAAACUAGUGUCGCGCAAUCCAGGAUCCAAUUUAUUCCAACAGUGUGUGGAGUUAAAAGAGAAGCUUCCCGCAAACGAUGCUGAUUUAUGCUGAGGGGUUAGAAGCAGGUAGGAGGAUGCCCUGGUUCGGUGAGAGUUGAGGUCACGUGACCACCGUAGUUUAUUAAACAGAUAUUCGGGCAGCCGUUUCUGUAUAAUUCCAAAUAGAAGGCAGGCAAAGUGAAGGUGCCGACGGCUUGCCAAUUUCAAUAACUUUGAUCUUAUGAGGUACGGAGUAACGUGACUACGAGCAGGGAUGGUGUAGCAGUAUCGGGCACAAGCGUUUUGCACUCGCUGUAAAAGACGCUGUGUUUUACCAUAGAUGCAAGGACCGUAUACUGUGUCAGCAUAAUUUAAUUUAGAUAAAACUAAACUUUCACAUAACUGCUCACGAAUCUCAGUUUUUAUGUAGGGUCUUAUACGAUAAAGAAUUUUUAAUCUAUAAAAGCAGUUUGACACUAAAUUUAAAACAUGUUUCUCGAAGCGCAGGUUAGAGUCAAAGUAAAUGCCGAGGUUUUUAGCUUCACUUACCAUUUGGAUUGACUCGCCAGCUACCUUUAUAUCGGGGUUAUUGGCUUUUAUUUUUGAAACUUGUUGUUUUGAUCCUAUUAUAAGAAACUGUGAUUUGGUGGGAUUCAGUAAGAGCGAAUUACUUUUAGACCAUGCUACUAUUUGGUUUAAAUCCUCAUUUAUUAAUGUUACUUUAUCUGCAGUGCCAUCUGGGACACAUGAUAGGUAUAUCUGUAGGUCGUCUGCAUAGAUAUGAUAUUUACAGUUUUUUAUGCAGUCUACUAUAUCACAGGCGUACAGAAUAAAUAGAAUAGGUCCAAGUAUAGACCCUUGUGGGACUCCUCUGGUCACUUGACUAGCUGAGGAAAUUUUCGUUUCGCCAUUAAUAUUGGUAAGUUUUACAAUUUGUGAUCGUUGGCUGAGAUAGCUAUAGAACCACCUUACUGUAUCGGCUUCAAAUCCAUAGUAGGUCAGUUUGGCCAGUAGGCGAGGGACGCUAAUAGUAUCGAAGGCACGCGAGAAGUCUAAUAGCGUUAAAAUAGUGCCCUGACCUUUAUCUUGCGAACAGAGUAUAUCAUCGACUACAUCGAGGAGAGCCGUUGUUGUACUGCGAAACUUCCUAAACCCGGACUGGACAGUAGGGAGAAUGUUAUUGCAUUCAAUAUAUUGGCUCAUCUGAUCGCAUACAACUUUUUCUAAUAUUUUAGACAGGCAAGCUAGUAUACUUAUCGGCCUUAAUUCAUUAACAGUAGAGGGACACGAUGUCUUAGGUAUAGGUUUUAUGAUGGCAGUUUUCCAUAGUUGCGGGAAUGUAUAGUUCAUUAGUGAGUAAUUUAUAAUAUACGUUAUGACGUCCAGCGUUCGCGGAAGAGUGAGGCAAAGCAUUUUAAGAGAUAUACGAUCGAUGCCUUGUGCGUUAGAUUUUAAUAUAUUAAUGAAUUUUUGUACUGUUUUGCUAUCUACAGGUUUAAUUUGGAAUUUGGAAUCACCAAAUCUGUUACUUUCAAAAUAUGCUAAGUCAGCAAAAUUUAGUUCCUCCUUCGAAGGCAAAUUUAAAAAGUGUGUAUUUAUGGCGUCCGGAUCAUUAAAUUGUGGUGGUAGGUCAGUCGACUUAUGACUUCGCAGUACUGUUUUUUUUAAAUUUUUCCACAGUGUCGCCGAGUUUUUACUAUUAUUAUUAAUGUAAAACUCAUAGUAGGCGCGUUUUUCCUUGUCUAAUGUAGAAAUAACCAAUUUUUUUAAGUCAAGGUAGUAAUUUUUAUUAACUUCAGACCUAGUUAAUUUAUAUUUUUUGAAGGCUUCGUUUCGCAAAUACAUCAUAUAUUUUAUAUUCUCGGUGAUCCACGGGUAUCCGGGAUCCCUGAUACAUAUAUUUUUUUCUGGCGCAUGAAGAUCAAAUAAUUGUAGAAUCAAGUUAUUGAAAGCGUCCACCAUACUAUUUAUGUCAUCACAUUGCAUUAUACUUUCCCAAUCUAAGUUAUUUAGGUCAUUGUUGAAGUAGUUCCAAAGUAUAUCGCUUAGCGGUCGAAUGGUCAUAAAUUUAGGAGUGAACUUUGGUUUCUUUAUGUUUAACGUUGCUGUGAUAAAUGCAUGUCUACCUAGUGCCGGUAUAUAAUCUACGUUAGUGUGGCCAAUUGUACUAUCUGUGCAAACGACAUCUAUCAGCGUCUCACAGUGGUCGUUGGCAAAGUGAGUAGGUUGCUGAACUGUUUGAGUUAACCCAACGCUAUGUAAGAAGUCCUUAAAUAAAGCCGUUUUGUUAUUGUUGGUCAAUAAGUCUAUAUUAAAGUCCCCCAUGAGUAACAGCUGGUCAUAUCCUGAGAAUGACGUGACCGAGUCCGUCAACGCAUCAAAGAACGUGUUAAUGUCCAACCAUUCUGGCCUGUAUGCUGUACCGAUAAGUAAUUUGAUGGAGUUGACAGUGCAGCUGAGCCACAUCUGCUCCACGGUAGGCGAUACGGGGUGCUUCCGGAUA
Molecule: long non-coding RNA, 3038 nt
Organism: Plutella xylostella (diamondback moth)
Lineage: Eukaryota; Metazoa; Arthropoda; Insecta; Lepidoptera; Plutellidae
Source: RefSeq, a predicted model, not a curated record